RNAcentral lists this small nuclear RNA (147 nucleotides) under Pelodiscus sinensis (Chinese soft-shelled turtle). RNAcentral's name for it is "U1 spliceosomal RNA (ENSPSIG00000019658.1)". It matches the Rfam family "U1 spliceosomal RNA". Rfam says of the family: U1 is a small nuclear RNA (snRNA) component of the spliceosome (involved in pre-mRNA splicing). Its 5' end forms complementary base pairs with the 5' splice junction, thus defining the 5' donor site of an intron. Lineage: Eukaryota; Metazoa; Chordata; Testudines; Trionychidae. The record is from RNAcentral.
AUAUUUAUUUGGCAGGCGGAAGUACCGUGAUCAAGAUCUUGGUUUUCAUGGAAUGCGGCUCAAUUGUAUUGAGAGUGCACUGAAUUCUACGGUUUUCUCGAACAGGGGAAUUUCGAUUGUUGGUGACUGCGUGCGCGUUGUUCCUUG